GGCAGCCGCCGCGGUAACACCGGCGGCCCGAGUGGUGAUCGUGAUUAUUGGGUCUAAAGGGUCCGUAGCCGGUUUGGUCAGUCCUCCGGGAAAUCUGAUAGCUCAACUAUUAGGCUUUCGGGGGAUACUGCCAGACUUGGAACCGGGAGAGGUAAGAGGUACUACAGGGGUAGGAGUGAAAUCUUGUAAUCCCUGUGGGACCACCUGUGGCGAAGGCGUCUUACCAGAACGGGUUCGACGGUGAGGGACGAAAGCUGGGGGCACGAACCGGAUUAGAUACCCGGGUAGUCCCAGCCGUAAACGAUGCUCGCUAGGUGUCAGGCAUGGCGCGACCGUGUCUGGUGCCGCAGGGAAGCCGUGAAGCGAGCCACCUGGGAAGUACGGCCGCAAGGCUGAAACUUAAAGGAAUUGGCGGGGGAGCACAACAACGGGUGGAGCCCUGCGGUUUAAUUGGACUCAACGCCGGACAACUCACCGGGGGCGACAGCAAUAUGUAGGCCAAGCUGAAGACUUUGCCUGAAUCGCUGAGGAGUGGUGCAUGG
RNAcentral lists this ribosomal RNA (542 nucleotides) under uncultured archaeon. RNAcentral's name for it is "bacterial SSU rRNA". It matches the Rfam family "Archaeal small subunit ribosomal RNA", at positions 457 to 997 of the family's 1478-position model. The record is from RNAcentral.